This 65-nucleotide transfer RNA is filed under the name human gut metagenome. It matches the Rfam family "tRNA", at positions 6 to 65 of the family's 71-position model. Rfam says of the family: Transfer RNA (tRNA) molecules are approximately 80 nucleotides in length. Their secondary structure includes four short double-helical elements and three loops (D, anti-codon, and T loops). Further hydrogen bonds mediate the characteristic L-shaped molecular structure. tRNAs have two regions of fundamental functional importance: the anti-codon, which is responsible for specific mRNA codon recognition, and the 3' end, to which the tRNAs corresponding amino acid is attached (by aminoacyl-tRNA synthetases). tRNAs cope with the degeneracy of the genetic code in two manners: having more than one tRNA (with a specific anti-codon) for a particular amino acid; and 'wobble' base-pairing, i.e. permitting non-standard base-pairing at the 3rd anti-codon position. RNAcentral also lists the same sequence under 5 other names. The record is from RNAcentral.
CUGGUAGUUCAGUUGGUUAGAACGCUAGCCUGUCACGCUAGAGGUCGUGGGUUCGAACCCCAUCC